Long non-coding RNA from Gallus gallus (chicken), 6212 nucleotides. RefSeq lists it as uncharacterized. The transcript is spliced from 2 exons. Lineage: Eukaryota; Metazoa; Chordata; Aves; Galliformes; Phasianidae. The record is from RefSeq and is a predicted model, not a curated record.
GGUUGCGGUUGGACUUGAUGACCUUGAAGGUCUUUUCCAACCUGAGCAAUUCUAUGAUUCUAUGAUUCUAUUAGUGAACUGUAUGUAUGGAAAAUGGCUAUAAAAUGUUGAAAAUGAAAUUUAAUAAACAUAGAUAGGAAAUUGUAAACAAGAAUUCUCAUUUGGAAAGUUAACCACUUGAAAGAAGAAAAGCUAUUUUACCCGGUAACUUGCACGGAUGGAAUAUCCCAGCUUUUGGAAACACGGCAUAGACAAACUGAGCUUCUACAUCUUUUCUACUCCCAUGUGUCUGAUUGCUGGCACUGUAAAAAUUAAUCUGCAAGAAUUUUGAUUUAUUUGUAUGCAAGAAUAAUAAAGCAGAUCUACAAAUGACGCUUAAACACCCACUAUGGGCUAUCUAUCACAUUGAUAUCAAGGGAUAGGAGAAAAACCUGGGAACUGGGCAAACAACAACAUCAGAAGUAGACUUCCAACAGCAAAAGUAGACUUCUACAUGCAUAAAACACGGGAAUAACAAUUCUGUUAUCUUUCUCUCUCUCUCUGUCUCUCUCUCUUUUUUUUUUUCUUAAUAUUUGUGUUAUCUAUUAAUGUAUACCACAGAGUAAAAUUUUUGACCACUGCCAUCAACUUCACACCUCUGCCAUCUCCUUAUCUGCAUUACCAGUUCUCCUUUUUCAAGAGAGGAUCUAAGCAACCAAUUUGUGUUCUUUUUUAUUUCAUCCACUCUCCCACUUUUCCCUGUCCUGACAGUUCUUACCAUGUUUUCAUUUUACCCCUCCUCUUUACCAGCAACAGAAUAUUUUUCUAUUUGCUUUUUUCCCUUGUUCUUCACUUUUCUUUCUUUGUGGUAAUCCCAACAUACAUAGAAAGAUGUCUGUCCCAUCCAUAUAUUUGAAAACCCUACACUUAAUUUCAUUUUGCUUUGUGAUGUCUUUGUCUUCCCCUUGAACCUAACUUCUAAAAUAGAGUAACGCGCUGCCUGCAGGAAUUACCUCAGAUGGUUUCCUGCCAGCUUCACCUUUUCUCAAAUCUUCUUCAGUUUCUUCUAUGUAUGCUCCACUCAGCUGUUCUGAGGUCACUAUUAAUGGUGUGACCAAAUCUCAGGACUUCUUGCCUGCAGCAUUAUUGAUCCUACUGUAACUCUGAAAUCUUGUCCUGUCUUAAUGGAAUCUUUUCUCAUUUUCUUUUCCAAAUCAGUGCCAAUUCUUUAAUCUUUCCUUCAGCAGUGGAUCUCCAGCCAAGCUUCCUCUUUCAAAAAAAUCUCACCAGGCUCUAUUUUACCUCCAUUCAACUAUUUGUGCAUUUUCUCAGGUGAUUUCUUCUGAUUACAUCAACUCAAUCCUCACCUCUACAAUACAAAUCCUUGCUUUCCAAUAAAUACACCUGGUUCCCUUUGAGACUGAAAUGUUGAAGUCAAGAUGACCUUCCUGAACUCUUGCUAUGAUUUUAUCAGCAAUUUUAUCAGCCUGUGUUUGCAUCUUUUCCUGGCAUUCCUGUGACUUUGAAUACUUUGAAUACAAAUCAAAGCCAUAGAAAGUAGGGCCAUCCAUUGGACACCCAUUUGUAAUCUUAUCUUGUAUUUCACGGUGCAGUUCUUUGCUCUGAGCUGGUCAUGCCAUUUUCAGUUGCCCAUGCAUCCUCUCAGAAAGUGCUGUCAUUCAUUUUUUUUCAGGUUUUCUUCCAGCAAACUAUACCCAAAACAGACCGCAAAAAAAACUUCUCAGCUUUCCUUCAAAGUUAUCUCAAAUCCUACCACUUUUACACAUUCAGGAAAACAAGAAUUGGUAUUGACCUGGGACAACUUCACUAGGGUAUACAUUUUUUAACAUAUUUGUAGCUUUAUAAAUAUGUUCUGUGCUAUAUUUUGCCUAUAGAAAUCUAGUCUAUACUAAAUAUACACUCAACUUCAUUCUUGCUUCCUUCUUGUUUUUCUUCAGUUUCCCUUAUAAAUAUUUUAAUCUCCUCUGCUUUAAGAAUUGCACUUUUGGUUGUGUACAGUAACCAUCACAAAACCCUAUAACACAACAUAUAAUAAUAAUAAUAACUUUUUUAGCUGUACUCCCAAGACAUGGCUGAGAUUUCCAAAAACAUCUACUCUUCUCAGAGACCUGUAGUAGCAUACACAAGGGUCAGCACCAAAUGAUGCAGUGGUAAAAAGUGAAUUAAACUCAAACAUGUCUGACAAUUUGAGGCAUUAACACUGUGGCAUGCCAGCUCAUCUCAUUACAUUGAAAUAAUAUAAAAAUAUAGUGAGAAAUGAAAAUGUAUGCAGUAUUGCACAACUCAGCCCAGUCAAUCCAAUCAGGCAUUCACCCUGAUUCUCGGGAUAUUGAGACAGACAGAUUCACACUGCUGCCAGCUAGAGCUCUAUGUAUCAGGAGAAUAAGAGGAUAUGGAGGGGCACUUAAGUUCUGUCUGUGUACGGUGCUAGACAUAAUAGUAUCAUGAUUAAUCACUUGGUCACUCAGCUGCUAUGACAGUAAACAGGAAAAAGAGUUCAAUUCAAGAAAGCUGGGGAAUAUUUUGAAUUUAGUUUCUUAAAGGUGUGACAAUCCCACCCAGGUCAUGCCAGAAUCAGCCUGUUCUAAUUUUGUGUAAAACCAGUAACACAAGCCCACUGAAUUGCAUAAUUUAUAAAUCACUUCAAGAGAGUUUGGUGUGAAAGGUGAUAUGAAAGUGGAAGUUGUUAACCACCACUGCAGCUGGCUGAGCGUCUUGUUUAUUCUCUAGCCAUAUUCUGCGUCAGGAGCCUGUACCACAACUAAUUAGUCGUAAUGCUUUAUAAUUGUAUAAACAGAAUAUAUAAUAGAUCUGUAUGAUAUAUAAUUAAUUUUGCCCUUAAGGAAGGCUUUUGGAAGUCAAACCAUGAGCUCUUUGAGAAUUGCCUCUUUAUGCUCUCGCUGACAAGGCAUAUAUCCCUGCUGGCAGAGCUCGGCGAACCUUCCAGAAAACAAUUUCAUUAGGCAUGACCAGGUGUUUUUUUGCAGGAGUGUGUGCUUGCAGACACAACUCUGACACCGAGGUGGCUGCAGCUGUGGCUGUGCCUGCCUUUGUGCAGCCAGUAGUGAGGAGUGGGGCUUUUGCACAGUGGUCAGUUUUAAAAAAAGCUAACCUACUGUUGUCAUAGAGGAGCUAUUUAUUUAGGCUUGUGUUUUGUUGUCCUUAUUUUUUAUUAAAUUAUUUUUAUUUUUAUGUGUGUGUGUAGUAAAUUCCAGGUUUAGCUCCAUUUCUGCUAUUGCAAAUACUACCUCAAAAGCCCAAACAAAUAAAGAUAAAUAUUUUUUUCCUGGAUUAUGAUGCAUGAGUAAGUGUAACCCAGCGUGGCUGGAAAAAUCACUGCCCUGCCUGAUAGAUUUGCUUAUCCUUCCCACUGGAAAAAAAAAAGACACACAAGACUUCAGGAGUCCUGCCAGAUCAGACACCUGAUCUCAUCUUAGAUGACGGCCAGUUUCCUUAAAGUGACAAAGCAGGCAGCAUCCAUCUCUAAGAUGUGUUCAAGCAGAGGAGCAAAGUACCGCAUUGUCUAGACGUGGGGACCAGGGCUGUGUGAAGACCAGGCUGCAGCUGGCAGCAGUAUUCUAACAGAGCUGAGCUGGUCUGCUGAGAGAUUUCAUCAGUCCUUGUCUUCAGCCAAAGCUUCUCAUUGCGAGAUGCUGAUCAGAGCCAGCAGCCGUGCAAGCAGCCCAAGCUUGGGAACUCCCAUCUGCCUGGUACUCUGCAGACAUUCUGGUCAGAGACAACUUCACAUCGCACUCCAUAGGAAUGAUAAUCACAACCUUCCUGAGGCCUGACAUGCCAUGAGCAGGGUUAUCUUUGCAUGGCUUUCUAGAUCCUUCUCAUUGAUAAAGUUUCUGUACCUGAGAAGUAUUUGGCAGAGCUGUCCUCAUGCACACAAACAGAGGAGUUGACUCUUAACCUCAGACGCUUGGGAUGGGAGUAGUCCGUGUCAGUUUGCAUGCCCUCCAAAGCAACUCAAGAGGUCAUUUAUGUAACCUGCAAAACUAAAUAUACAAUCUCCCUGGGGAGCUUUGAGGUGGAUUUAUUAAUUGGGUUCCAAAACUUUUGAGGUAGCUAUUUCUGAGGUAACAAGAUUUUUCUUCUUUCAUUGCUUUCCCACCCACGUCCAUGGCUGAAUUUAGAGCUGCCUUCCAUUCCUUUGGGAACUAGGAGUCACAAAAUAAAUCUUUUUCCUUCUCCCUUCCAAAAUUAAGAGAGAUAGCUUCUAUCUUCUCAUGUAAUCAACUUCAUUUCUUACUCCCUUUCUCUGCACUUCAUAUGAUGAAUUAUCACUUAGUACUCUUCGUACAGAUACAUUUAUUGUUUACCACUACCUCUCACAUAACAGAGACACUUCAUUUGCUGGAAGACCAAAGCUGUAACUCAGUAGUGUAAGAGAAGGUCUUCCCCUUGAGAUGUUUCAUCCUGGGCUUACAAUCACUGAACAGUUACAUCAAACAGUUCAGUUUCUGCAUGAGAGCAGGGAUUUCAACUGCUAAUCUGAAUGUAGUGGUUACAUUCCCACCAGUGUCAUAGUGCUUACAUUAUACCUCAAGUCUCAGGGACCUUAUGUGUGCCUGUCUGGCUGGCCAGCCCAAGGCUGCACAUGACAAUCCUGGAAAGAACUUCUGAAAGUAAUAUGUAGGCUUUUUGUCAUUUAAAGCUAUGAAGAAUCUGAAGGAAACACCCUGAUGAACAUCAUCGGGACAGUCCUGACUUCUCAAAGGAAAAAGCCCUCUUUCUGGGCAAAUAACAUGUACAAAUAGAUUUACCAAUUAAUGCUUUUAUUUCCAAGAACUCAUAAAAUCUCAGAUUACUCUUGAGAGUAAUAAAUACUUCAAUAAUGCUGUUCUUGAUUACAGGCAAGAGCAUAACAGCUCUGACUGGUAGUGAUUUCAUAAUUAUGUUUGAUUACAGGCAUGUUUCUAUUGUACUGAUGCAGAGGGGUUAUUUGUUUCCUUCUAUCAGUCUCCUGGAUUCCGCCGGAGACCAAGAGCACACUGUCAGCACACACGGCUUACAAAGCUACUCUCCUCAAAGCCCUGUCACUAAGGCACAGCCAUUAGUAAGGACCUCUGCUAGCUAGGCCAGCAAAACUUCACAGAAUUGUGAUUAAAACUCUAUGUAAUUACAUCAGUGGAGGCCACUUUCUAAAGGAAUCCUGAAUAUGUGCAACUCUUUAGGGCUCUGUCUUGCGUAUAAAAUUUUCCUUCACAGUAUGAGGGCCAAAGUUACUCAUACCUUCACGUUAUUACCAUUACAGCAAGAACCAGCAUGACAAAUUAGAAAUAAAGAAAAACUAUAUCCAUAAUAUUGUCUCCACUUCCUACUAUUACAGAGAAAAAGGGAAAAGCUGUAUUAAGCCAAUUAGCCCUCUCUCUGUCAAUGAGCAACAUCAACAGGAAAAUCAUGCCUUACAAUUUAUUCUCUGGUGCUUUGUUUAUUUGGUAUUAAAUGACUCAUGGAAUAUGGUUUCCACCUCUCCCCUAGGGAGAUUAUCCCAGCUGCUGAAACUUAGUAGCAGUUCCCUUUCUUUUGUCUCACUUUUAACGAUCCUUAAGUUUUUCGUUCUAUUUUAGGUUGUGAGGUAAAAGCUACAAGGGAAACUCAUCUACCCAAGCCUGCUUUUAUAAGCAGCUAAGGCUGUGACAGAAACACAUAAACUCAAGGAAACAUGCAGUCAAAAAAGAAACGCAUCGUUUGUUUCACUGAUACUAUGCCACCUCAGUGGCACACUUUCAAGCUAAAUACUGCAGUAUCUACGUGACAAGAGAAUACUUUCCUGCUUUGAAAAUGUAGUGACAGCAUCUUCAUUUCCCAGCCGUGGUUUUGCAGUAUACUGUGUCACUUCAUAGCAUUCCACCUGGCUGUAAAGGAAUGGUGAUGACAAGGGGCUUUCCAAAGAAAAUUCUGUGCUGCUUGUUGUGCCCAUGGAGAAAGACGAAAGUGAACAAGGCUUCGUCGGUGAGAAAAUUAAAGGAGGAUAAAUAGAGAGGUAGAAGAAAUCCAGAGGGCAGAGCUGCAGGCCAGAGGCAGCCCAGCUUCUCACAGUGUGCAGUCUGACAUUCUUGACUUGUGCAUUACAUGUACCAAUGGACAGAAAGAAAGCCUUAAAAAUAAACCAGGAAGAAGGAUCGGUGAUUCUAGCUGUGAGUUGAAUGUCAGCCUUUGUGUUAAACUAAAUGCACAAGGAAUACAUAAUUCAGAAUUCCCCA